This 253-nucleotide ribosomal RNA is filed under the name uncultured bacterium. RNAcentral describes it as "partial 16S ribosomal RNA". It matches the Rfam family "Bacterial small subunit ribosomal RNA", at positions 524 to 776 of the family's 1533-position model. The record is from RNAcentral.
GACGAACCGUGCGAACGUUGUUCGGAAUCACUGGGCUUAAAGGGCGCGUAGGCGGGCGGCCGCGUCCGGGGUGAAAUCCCGCCGCUCAACGGCGGAACGGCCUCGGAUACGGGCGGCCUCGAGGGGGGUAGGGGCGUGCGGAACUCUGGGUGGAGCGGUGAAAUGCGUUGAUAUCCAGAGGAACUCCGGUGGCGAAGGCGGCACGCUGGACCCCUUCUGACGCUGAGGCGCGAAAGCCAGGGUAGCAAACGGG